ACGCUGGCGGCAGGCUUAACACAUGCAAGUCGAACGGUAACAGGGAUUAGCUUGCUAAUUUGCUGACGAGUGGCGGACGGGUGAGUAAUGCUUGGGAAUCUGGCUUAUGGAGGGGGAUAACUACGGGAAACUGUAGCUAAUACCGCGUAAAAUCUUAGGAUUAAAGGGUGGGACUUUCGAGCCACCUGCCAUAAGAUGAGCCCAAGUGGGAUUAGGUAGUUGGUUAGGUAAAGGCUGACCAAGCCGACGAUCUCUAGCUGGUCUGAGAGGAUGACCAGCCACACUGGAACUGAGACACGGUCCAGACUCCUACGGGAGGCAGCAGUGGGGAAUAUUGCACAGUGGGGGGAACCCUGAUGCAGCCAUGCCGCGUGAAUGAAGAAGGCCUUCGGGUUGUAAAGUUCUUUCGGUGACGAGGAAGGUUGAUAGGUUAAUAGCCUAUCAAAUUGACGUUAAUCACAGAAGAAGCACCGGCUAACUCCGUGCCAGCAGCCGCGGUAAUACGGGGGGUGCGAGCGUUAAUCGGAAUAACUGGGCGUAAAGGGCACGCAGGCGGUGACUUAAGUGAGAUGUGAAAGCCCCGAGCUUAACUUGGGAAUUGCAUUUCAUACUGGGUCGCUAGAGUACUUUAGGGAGGGGUAGAAUUCCACGUGUAGCGGUGAAAUGCGUAGAGAUGUGGAGGAAUACCGAAGGCGAAGGCAGCCCCUUGGGAAUGUACUGACGCUCAUGUGCGAAAGCGUGGGGAGCAAACAGGAUUAGAUACCCUGGUAGUCCACGCUGUAAACGAUGUCGAUUUGGGGAUUGGGCUUUGAGCUUGGUGCCCGUAGCUAACGUGAUAAAUCGACCGCCUGGGGAGUACGGCCGCAAGGUUAAAACUCAAAUGAAUUGACGGGGGCCCGCACAAGCGGU
This 909-nucleotide ribosomal RNA is filed under the name uncultured bacterium. RNAcentral describes it as "bacterial SSU rRNA". It matches the Rfam family "Bacterial small subunit ribosomal RNA", at positions 33 to 933 of the family's 1533-position model. The record is from RNAcentral.